RNAcentral lists this transfer RNA (83 nucleotides) under Bacteroidota bacterium. Its description in RNAcentral is "tRNA-Leu". It matches the Rfam family "tRNA". From Rfam's summary of the family: Transfer RNA (tRNA) molecules are approximately 80 nucleotides in length. RNAcentral also lists the same sequence under 3 other names. Lineage: Bacteria; Pseudomonadati; Bacteroidota. The record is from RNAcentral.
GCCCGGAUGGUGGAAUCGGUAGACACGCAAGACUUAAAAUCUUGUGACCAUUGGUUGUGCGGGUUCAAGUCCCGCUCCGGGUA